RNAcentral lists this transfer RNA (86 nucleotides) under Cordylochernes scorpioides. RNAcentral's name for it is "tRNA-Tyr". It matches the Rfam family "tRNA". Rfam says of the family: Transfer RNA (tRNA) molecules are approximately 80 nucleotides in length. Their secondary structure includes four short double-helical elements and three loops (D, anti-codon, and T loops). The record is from RNAcentral. Lineage: Eukaryota; Metazoa; Arthropoda; Arachnida; Pseudoscorpiones; Chernetidae.
CCCUCGAUAGCUCAGUUGGCAGAGCGGAGGACUGUAGAUUUUACAACGUGAUCCUUAGGUCGCUGGUUCAAAUCCGGCUCGAGGGA